This 484-nucleotide ribosomal RNA is filed under the name uncultured bacterium. RNAcentral's name for it is "partial 16S ribosomal RNA". It matches the Rfam family "Bacterial small subunit ribosomal RNA", at positions 30 to 507 of the family's 1533-position model. The record is from RNAcentral.
AUUGAACGCUGGCGGCAGGCCUAACACAUGCAAGUCGAGCGGCUGCAGGGAGCUUGCUCCUGCAUUCAGCGGCGGACGGGUGAGUAAUGCCUAGGAACCUGCCUGGUAGUGGGGGAUAACGUCCGGAAACGGGCGCUAAUACCGCAUACGUCCUGAGGGAGAAAGUGGGGGAUCUUGGGACCUCACGCUAUCAGAUGAGCCUAGGUCGGAUUAGCUAGUUGGUGGGGUAAAGGCCUACCAAGGCGACGAUCCGUAGCUGGUCUGAGAGGAUGAUCAGUCACACUGGAACUGAGACACGGUCCAGACUCCUACGGGAGGCAGCAGUGGGGAAUAUUGGACAAUGGGCGAAAGCCUGAUCCAGCCAUGCCGCGUGUGUGAAGAAGGUCUUCGGGUUGUAAAGCACUUUUAGUUGGAAAGAAGAGCAGUAAGUUAAUACCUUGCUGUUUUGACGUUACCAACAGAAUAAGCACCGGCUAACUUCGUG